GUACUGAACAAAACAGCAGACAACCAGACCCUGAGGUUAGACCAGGCAAACUGCCUGGCAGCACAGCAGCAGCCUGUACCAAUCAAAGAACAAUGCCUCAGAAGCGCAGUGAAUGUUACCCUCAUCAGUGGCAAAGACUUGGAAUUUCACAAACUUUGUCCAGAUUAGAGGACGAAGCAACAGAGCAGCUGCUGAUGAUUAGUUUCCAUGCACCAUUUUACUCACCUGAUGUCUUCAUCUUCUUA
Poeciliopsis prolifica (blackstripe livebearer) is the source of this 245-nucleotide long non-coding RNA. RefSeq lists it as uncharacterized. The record is from RefSeq and is a predicted model, not a curated record. NCBI's taxonomy places the organism in Eukaryota, Metazoa, Chordata, Actinopteri, Cyprinodontiformes, Poeciliidae. The transcript has 3 exons.